GGGAGGAACAACCACAGUGGCGGUGGCCAGCUCCGGAGCCCUGGAUUCAGCUCCCGCAGUAGCAUCAGAGCUCUCAGUCUGCAGGGGCCUGGAUUCUCCGGGGGCGG
This 107-nucleotide microRNA precursor is filed under the name Canis lupus dingo (dingo). RNAcentral's name for it is "mir-8834 microRNA precursor family". It matches the Rfam family "mir-8834 microRNA precursor family". Lineage: Eukaryota; Metazoa; Chordata; Mammalia; Carnivora; Canidae. The record is from Rfam by way of RNAcentral.